This 486-nucleotide ribosomal RNA is filed under the name uncultured bacterium. RNAcentral describes it as "partial 16S ribosomal RNA". It matches the Rfam family "Bacterial small subunit ribosomal RNA", at positions 30 to 507 of the family's 1533-position model. The record is from RNAcentral.
AUUGAACGCUGGCGGCAUGCCUUACACAUGCAAGUCGAACGGCAGCACGGGUGCUUGCACCUGGUGGCGAGUGGCGAACGGGUGAGUAAUACAUCGGAACAUGUCCUGUAGUGGGGGAUAGCCCGGCGAAAGCCGGAUUAAUACCGCAUACGAUCUACGGAUGAAAGCGGGGGACCUUCGGGCCUCGCGCUAUAGGGUUGGCCGAUGGCUGAUUAGCUAGUUGGUGGGGUAAAGGCCUACCAAGGCGACGAUCAGUAGCUGGUCUGAGAGGACGACCAGCCACACUGGGACUGAGACACGGCCCAGACUCCUACGGGAGGCAGCAGUGGGGAAUUUUGGACAAAGGGCGAAAGCCUGAUCCAGCAAUGCCGCGUGUGUGAAGGAGGCCUUCGGGUUGUAAAGCACUUUUGUCCGGAAAGAAAUCCUUGGCCCUAAUACGGUCGGGGGAUGACGGUACCGGAAGAAUAAGCACCGGCUAACUACGUG